Daktulosphaira vitifoliae (grape phylloxera) is the source of this 1291-nucleotide long non-coding RNA. RefSeq lists it as uncharacterized. The transcript is spliced from 4 exons. Lineage: Eukaryota; Metazoa; Arthropoda; Insecta; Hemiptera; Phylloxeridae. The record is from RefSeq and is a predicted model, not a curated record.
CGCUAUUAGUAGGUAAAUUAUCUAUGAAACUAUGCGUAAACGCUUAUAUGCAUUAUUAUAUUACAAUAAUAUUUUAUAUUAUUGAACUAACUACUGAAUUUCUCAACACGGUGAAUAAUAAGCUGUCAUGAUAUAACCGGAAAGACCCGUUUCGCAUAAACAAAAAAACUUUUCCGAACACAUUAAAUAUUCUCAGCGCAAUCCGACAAGUUUUGUUUUGUUAUGUUUUUUUUUAAGAAAAGAUGUUCUGGUAUAUACUAUAUUUUUCACAUUUUUUACAGAGACUCGCAAAUCUUAUGCCGAGCACAUUUUUUAACUUAAUUAUUUUUUUUAAUGUUAUAUAAAUAUAUUUUUUGCUAGAAAAAUAUGUAAAAUAAACGAUAAAGCUAAAAAAUGUUGAUAUUAUCACUUUGUUGUUUCGGGAAUUAAUAACAAAGAAGUUAUUCUAUAAAAAAUAACACAAUGCAAACGAACUUUUGUUGGAUAAACGGCUUCGUGACAAUUGAAAAAUUGAUAUUAUCCAUUUUUUACAUGUACAUAGUGAGCAAAAAAUAAUAAGCAUUCCAAAACAGUUUUAGAAUAAUAAUAAUCAAGAAGACAACUAAGUAUUUAAUCAUUAUCAAUCAUUAAAGUCAUUAUGGGCCUUACGUUGCAAUCAUAACAUCAUCAUCACGAGGCUCAAUAGUAUUUGACGUUAUGCUAUACAUGUAAUUCAUCUUUUCUUUGAAACGCGGACACCAGGCACCUGAGAUCUGUCUAUUUAAAUGCCAUUAGUUACCAUUGAGUUGCCAAGCAACCGAAAGAUGAACACUGAACUACGGUGAAUUAAAAUUCUGUUUUACAUUGUUAAAUAGUUAUUGUUGUUCUUAUAAACUAUAAAUGAAACAUUAUAAUUAAAAGUUUAUAACAGUUAUCAGGCAGAUCUGACAUGUCUAAGUAAUUGUUUAUGAUUAAUUGUUACCGGUACACGAAAAGAAAACAUUACUAUAAUUAUUUUAAGUUAUUUUUAACAUUUGUACUUUUUUCGAAUAUUUAUCCAAUUGAAAAUUAACCACGUUGAAAACAGUACGAAAAACUUUUUCUUCAGGCGUUAAACUUAGACAGAAAACCCAAUUGCAAAAAUGUUUCAUAACUUAUAAAAAAAUUAUACUUUUUUCUUUAAGCAGUAUAUUUUUCAUUUUUGUGAACUUAAUUUUGUUGUCUUUAAAUUGCAACUCAAUUGUAAUAUUUUUUCAAUGAUUUAAUUUAAAAAUCAAUGUAACUAUCUCUACUGGAAAACUUAUUUUUUUAA